This 339-nucleotide long non-coding RNA is filed under the name Mytilus galloprovincialis (Mediterranean mussel). Lineage: Eukaryota; Metazoa; Mollusca; Bivalvia; Mytilida; Mytilidae. The record is from RNAcentral.
UAGCUUUAUUUUUUUUGUGAGAAAGCUUACACAAUUGUGAGAAUUUAUACUUUGUCAAUAAAAAAAAAUCAUAUUAAAACAAAUAACAAGUAAAUAAUGAUUUGUCAAGAAAAUCUGAAAAUGGAUUUUGUGGCCAGGUUGUCUACGUAGUUCAUCUACAUCAAUCACUAGCCUGUCAACACCAAGGUUGUGAGUACAAAUCCCACUUGUGGUAAGGUGCUUUCUAUUACAUACAAUCUGCCAUGAAGUAGUCGAAAGAACCAAAAGUGUCAUUAAAACACCACCAAUUAAUUCAAUGAAAAAUUGUAGCUUCUAACAAUCUCUGAAUAACUCUUAUUU